RNAcentral lists this ribosomal RNA (547 nucleotides) under uncultured Scutellospora. Its description in RNAcentral is "SSU rRNA". It matches the Rfam family "Eukaryotic small subunit ribosomal RNA", at positions 548 to 1098 of the family's 1831-position model. Lineage: Eukaryota; Fungi; Glomeromycota; Glomeromycetes; Diversisporales; Gigasporaceae. The record is from RNAcentral.
UUGGAGGGCAAGUCUGGUGCCAGCAGCCGCGGUAAUUCCAGCUCCAAUAGCGUAUAUUAAAGUUGUUGCAGUUAAAAAGCUCGUAGUUGAAUUUCGGGAUUUUACCGUUGGUCGGGCUAUCCAGUCUGUACUAGCGUGUAGAAUUUCUACCUUCUGGGGAACCAUCAUGUUAUUUAUUUAGCGUGGUGGGAAACCAGGACCUUUACCUUGAAAAAAUUAGAGUGUUCAAAGUAGGCUUACGUCUGAAUACAUUAGCAUGGAAUAAUAAAAUAGGACGGUGGUCCUGUUUUGUUGGUUUCUGAAUCACCGUAAUGAUUAAUAGGGAUAGUUGGGGGCAUUAGUAUUCAAUUGUCAGAGGUGAAAUUCUUGGAUUUAUUGAAGACUAACUUCUGCGAAAGCAUUUGCCAAGGAUGUUUUCAUUAAUCAAGAACGAAAGUUAGGGGAUCGAAGACGAUCAGAUACCGUCGUAGUCUUAACCAUAAACUAUGCCGACUAGGGAUCGGACGAUGUUAAAUAUUAUUGACUCGUUCGGCGCCUUACGGGAAAC